RNAcentral lists this ribosomal RNA (1483 nucleotides) under Synechococcus sp. GFB01. Its description in RNAcentral is "bacterial SSU rRNA". It matches the Rfam family "Bacterial small subunit ribosomal RNA". Lineage: Bacteria; Bacillati; Cyanobacteriota; Cyanophyceae; Synechococcales; Synechococcaceae. The record is from RNAcentral.
AACGGAGAGUUUGAUCCUGGCUCAGGAUGAACGCUGGCGGCGUGCUUAACACAUGCAAGUCGAACGAACCNUCGGGUUAGUGGCGGACGGGUGAGUAACGCGUGAGAAUCUGCCCUCAGGAGGGGGAUAACGGCUGGAAACGGCCGCUAAUACCCCAUAUGCCGAGAGGUGAAAUGAAUUUCGCCUGAGGAUGAGCUCGCGUCUGAUUAGCUAGUUGGUGGGGUAAGAGCCUACCAAGGCGUCGAUCAGUAGCUGGUCUGAGAGGAUGAUCAGCCACACUGGGACUGAGACACGGCCCAGACUCCUACGGGAGGCAGCAGUGGGGAAUUUUCCGCAAUGGGCGAAAGCCUGACGGAGCAACGCCGCGUGAGGGAUGAAGGCCUCUGGGCUGUAAACCUCUUUUCUCAAGGAAGAAGAUCUGACGGUACUUGAGGAAUAAGCCACGGCUAAUUCCGUGCCAGCAGCCGCGGUAAUACGGGAGUGGCAAGCGUUAUCCGGAAUUAUUGGGCGUAAAGCGUCCGCAGGCGGCCUCGUAAGUCUGUUGUCAAAGCGUGGAGCUUAACUCCAUUUCGGCAAUGGAAACUGUGAGGCUUGAGUGUGGUAGGGGCAGAGGGAAUUCCCGGUGUAGCGGUGAAAUGCGUAGAUAUCGGGAAGAACACCAGUGGCGAAGGCGCUCUGCUGGGCCAUAACUGACGCUCAUGGACGAAAGCCAGGGGAGCGAAAGGGAUUAGAUACCCCUGUAGUCCUGGCCGUAAACGAUGAACACUAGGUGUCGGGGGAAUCGACCCCCUCGGUGUCGUAGCCAACGCGUUAAGUGUUCCGCCUGGGGAGUACGCACGCAAGUGUGAAACUCAAAGGAAUUGACGGGGGCCCGCACAAGCGGUGGAGUAUGUGGUUUAAUUCGAUGCAACGCGAAGAACCUUACCAGGGUUUGACAUCCUGCGAACCCCUGAGAAAUCGGGGGGUGCCUUCGGGAGCGCAGUGACAGGUGGUGCAUGGCUGUCGUCAGCUCGUGUCGUGAGAUGUUGGGUUAAGUCCCGCAACGAGCGCAACCCACGUCUUUAGUUGCCAGCAUUCAGUUGGGCACUCUAGAGAGACCGCCGGUGAUAAACCGGAGGAAGGUGUGGAUGACGUCAAGUCAUCAUGCCCCUUACAUCCUGGGCUACACACGUACUACAAUGCUACGGACAAAGGGCAGCAAACUCGCGAGAGCUAGCAAAUCCCAUAAACCGUGGCUCAGUUCAGAUCGUAGGCUGCAACUCGNCUACGUGAAGGAGGAAUCGCUAGUAAUCGCAGGUCAGCAUACUGCGGUGAAUACGUUCCCGGGCCUUGUACACACCGCCCGUCACACCAUGGAAGUUGGCCACGCCCGAAGCCGUUACUCCAACCCUUGUGGAGGAGGACGUCGAAGGUGGGGCUGAUGACUGGGGUGAAGUCGUAACAAGGUAGCCGUACCGGAAGGUGCGGCUGGAUCACCUCCUAA